GGGUUGUUUAAGAUUGUUGUUAAACCCUCUGCUAACAAACAGGAAUCCACUGCUGAUCAGGUUGGAGCUGAAGCUGACACUUCUUGGGAGGGGGUGGUAAGACGGGAAACUGGAUUCUCGGAGUCUAAUCUAUGGCUCCAAUGGGUACAGCAUACUGCCACAAACAUGCACAGUACAGAUUGUAUAGUGUGUUCUCAACCUAGGCCUAUGCCCACUCCUGUACGUUCCAGAUUCAGACCAAUAAGUCCUAUAUUCAAAUGUAUACUGGAGCUCUUUGUCCUGCAGACUCAGCCUGUCCACCAUACUUGUCUAGAGUUCCAAUGGGAUUAUCCGCCAGCUACCUAGAGCACGCCACCUCAAUUUAUGGUUCCAGAUGGUACAUUUGAUUGCAUAGUAUCAGAGAUAACGGGAGGGAUAAAAUGAAGGAGACCACAUUUCAAGACUUGAUUUCACCACAUCCUCACGUCGCCAGGAGAGCGAAGAGAUCCACUAGUCCUGCGGGCUCAUUUGAUAGUCAUGUGUACUUAGAUGCCAUUGGGGUGCCCAGGAGGGUGCCAGAUGAUGUUGAAUUCCAGAAUCAGAUCACUGAAUCAGCUGAAUUUGUGGACAAUAAUAAAAUGUUGAUUGGAUGAAACUGCAUUUAAUGGCAGACAGGUGCUACAAAUGAAGACCUGCAUGAGUCAUUGGAUGAAAUGAGACUCAUGGCCUAGAAUAAUAAAGUGGCUUUAGACAUGAUCUUGGC
Long non-coding RNA from Gasterosteus aculeatus aculeatus (three-spined stickleback), 742 nucleotides. The record is from Ensembl. NCBI's taxonomy places the organism in Eukaryota, Metazoa, Chordata, Actinopteri, Perciformes, Gasterosteidae.